GUUCGAUCCGUCCCCAACUAUAUAGUAAUUUGGGCACAUAGACAAGUCUGAGAUCCGACUAUAAAGGGAAAAGAGAGAGGUUGACUUCAAAAAAGCUCAUACUCGGUGUUGAUCCGGGCCCAGGCUUCUCUCCCUCCCUCUCCGGCUGCCUCCUCUGCUCCGGCGUGGCGUCGCCAGUUCCGACCGCCGCACGCCACGAAACCGCCACCAAUCUCUUCCUCUCUUUCUUCUCUACAAGACCUAGUCCUCAAAUCGCACAUUCUUCCACCUAUAGAGGAGAUCGAAGUCGACGAACACGACUGUGUUCGUCGGAUUCCGGCAAGCUCAGGCGACGAGGCGGCUACCGAUAGGUUUUUCCGGCAACGUUGUUUCGGCUCCAAGGAGGAUUUCGGUGAAGAGACGAUAUGAGUGGCCUGGUGUAACUGAUGCACGUCGGAGGUGAAAGCAAGCAGAGGAGCAGUAGUGGGAGACUUGAUUGGUGUUGAGCUACUCUUUGGGUGUAAAGAGUAGUUUUGGAGUUGGUCUCACACAAGUUGAUCGCAAGUGUAACUAGGAGCUCAUCAGAGGUGGGAGAGAGCUAGCUACUGCUCUAGGAAUCCAGUUUUAGAGUUUGAAGGGAGUGACUCUGUAGGGAGUUAGUCUUGAAAGUUAACAAGAGACAUUCAGGUGUAGUAAUUGACGCCUACCACUUACCUGGAAAGCAUAUAAUAGGUGAAGCUGCUAGCGCUUUGAACUUCAAAGAACUUAAGAACCUAGAAGGAAUAUUAGAGAAAAGAAUCAGCAGAAUAAGAUCCAAAAAGGUACCGAGUAAACAUUCAAUUUUUAUUUGGGACAUAUUUAUAUUUAACUAUUUCCUCAUUGAUAUGUACUCAGAAUUUCAAUCCACAUUUUUCAAUAUAUAUGCCACCAAAAUAAAAUGUUGUUUGCUGACAUGUUGUUUUUCAGGAUAUAUUUUGGCAAGAGCCAUUGGAGGAGUUUGUUAUUGUGUUGACGAAGUGUUCAUUGUCCAGAAAAAAGAUUAUGUAGAUUUUCAUUUGAGUAUAGAUAUUGAGAAGUAUUGUAUUUUUAUUUGGUAGCUUGUACUUAACAUUUUUGCUGUGGUACAAUAUAAGACAAAAAACUGGGUCCCUAUUAGUAAAAACCAAAACCAGGGUAAAUAUUUCAAAACCCAAUUGGUGUUUUAUUGCAAUUUUCAAUUAUUUUUUUUGUUAAAUUU
This is an RNA transcript of Fragaria vesca subsp. vesca, 1216 nucleotides long. RefSeq lists it as uncharacterized. The transcript is spliced from 6 exons. The record is from RefSeq and is a predicted model, not a curated record. NCBI's taxonomy places the organism in Eukaryota, Viridiplantae, Streptophyta, Magnoliopsida, Rosales, Rosaceae.